This 253-nucleotide ribosomal RNA is filed under the name uncultured bacterium. RNAcentral's name for it is "partial 16S ribosomal RNA". It matches the Rfam family "Bacterial small subunit ribosomal RNA", at positions 524 to 776 of the family's 1533-position model. The record is from RNAcentral.
UAUGUAGGCAGCGAGCGUUGUUCGGAGUUACUGGGCGUAAAGGGUGUGUAGGCGGUUUUCUAAGUUUGGUGUGAAAUCUCCCGGCUCAACCGGGAGGGUGCGCCGAAAACUGGGAGACUAGAGUGCGGGAUGGGAGAGUAGAAUUCCUGGUGUAGCGGUGAAAUGCGUAGAUAUCAGGAGGAACACCAAUGGCGAAGGCAGCACUCUGGGACGUGACUGACGCUGAGACGCGAAAGCGUGGGGAGCAAACAGG